This 468-nucleotide ribosomal RNA is filed under the name uncultured bacterium. RNAcentral describes it as "partial 16S ribosomal RNA". It matches the Rfam family "Bacterial small subunit ribosomal RNA", at positions 28 to 507 of the family's 1533-position model. The record is from RNAcentral.
GACGAACGCUGGCGGCGUGCUUAACACAUGCAAGUCGAACGGUGAAGCUCCAGCUUGCUGGAGUGGAUCAGUGGCGAACGGGUGAGUAACACGUGAGCAACCUGCCCCUGACUCUGGAAUAAGCGCUGGAAACGGCGUCUAAUACUGGAUACGAGAAGGGUCCGCAUGGGCACUUUCUGGAAAGUUUUUCGGUUGGGGAUGGGCUCGCGGCCUAACAGCUUGUUGGUGAGGUAAUGGCUCACCAAGGCGACGACGGGUAGCCGGCCUGAGAGGGCGACCGGCCACACUGGGACUGAGACACGGCCCAGACUCCUACGGGAGGCAGCAGUGGGGAAUAUUGCACAAUGGGCGAAAGCCUGAUGCAGCGACGCCGCGUGAGGGAUGACGGCCUUCGGGUUGUAAACCUCUUUCAGCAGGGAAGAAGCGAAAGUGACGGUACCUGCAGAAGAAGCACCGGCUAACUACGUG